Molecule: non-coding RNA, 30 nt
Filed under: Homo sapiens (human)
Lineage: Eukaryota; Metazoa; Chordata; Mammalia; Primates; Hominidae
Source: RNAcentral
UGCAUGCAUAUGGCAGAAUUGCUCACUACA